UCUGUAACACAGGGGCCCCACAGGGGACGGUGUCAGCACCGUUCCUCUUCACCCUCUACGCUGCAGACUUCAUGUACAACUCCCCACCUGCCGCCUACAGAAGUUUUCUGAUGACUCAGCGAUCGUCGGCCGCACCACAAAUGAGGACAACGGAGAGUACAGAGAACUGAUUCAGGACUUUGUGGACUGCUGUCUGCGGAAUCACCUACACUGGGCAGUUCCUUCAGUGACCGGCCAAGUGUGUGAAGGAGUGCUAUCGCAGGUCCUUCCUUCCUGCUGCUGUGAGACUAUUCAACCAGCACUGCUCCCAGUAGACCACACACACACACACACAAUAUACACACAUACAAUAUACACACACACACACAUAGUAUGUGUGUAUAUUGUAAGAACUUUGGUUCCACCCACCACUUGCCUCUGACUGUUCUGGACACACAUAAUCCCAGUCUAGCAACUCAUGAGGAACAGAAAGGGAAAAUUACAAAGAGGUUCAGCGGCAUGAAGCUCUUCUGCGUCAUUGAGCUGCUUCUGGCUGCCUAUUUUGGGUGAUGGACCACUCUUAUCCUAGGAAUGUUCUACGGCUGGUCCAGCACCACAGAACCAGCCCACCCGAUUCACCCAAACAGUGUCAUAUUUGAGUUAAAACACAUUUAACACACUCGUGUCCAGAACUGUGCAGCAGCAGAUGCGCUACAGUCUAUAACUGUAACGUUAGUGGACCUCAAAAGGUGGACGGAGCUCAUGAAGUGGACAGAGAGGGAAAUACAAAAUAAAAGUCUCUAAUAAAGUGGACGGUCGGUGUAUGGAAAGAAUAGAGCAGCAGAACGGAGAGCGCCUUUGCUCGAGAACCGUCCACUGAUCUCUAUCUGAGGGGAUACGUCUGCGCGUCCGCCAUGUUGGCGCGGUCAAGAUCUGCUUGUGAACAGAUUCAUUUGUAUUGAGAGACGAAGAGUCUUGGGAUUGAAUCAGCCACAACUUCCUUUAAUCUCACAUACUUUAUUCCACUCUAAUGUGGAACCAAAAUUGCUCAAGGGGCCUUUUUAAACUUCCAUAAAAAAAUCUGUGCACUCAUACUGUCUUUCUGUGUUUAAAGGGGAAGUUAGGAUGUAAACAGAGGCGUUCAGAACGGAAAGGUUUGGUGUAAAGUGCUCUGUUCUUGAGAAACAGUCAGAAUGAUUCAGAACGGUGGUGAUAGGAACCAGACGUCUAAGGAUUAGGCUGCUUUUACACAUGCCACUUUAACUGCUUGAAACUUAAGUGAAACUAUCCUGCAACUUACUUGAAACUCAGCCACAACAUUGAGUCUCAACUUCAGGAGACAGCCCAUCAGAAUGUUGAUAAUGCAUCGUGUGAUCAUGUCAAACAACAUUGUUUCAAAUGAUGGAUUCCACUGAGUCAACAAAAAUGCUUGGAUGACCAUUUAUAUCCAGGAAUGGAGGUUAAAGUUUCCUGGACAGGCAAGCAAAACCUGGACAAUCCAGGGAAAUCCUGAUCAGGUAGUAACCCAACUUAAAGCUACACAUAUAUUGUUAGGGUUAAGAUAUCCACCUGAUAAUGGCUAGUGUGAGUAUACAUAGGAAAAAUAGUCAAACAUGGAUAUUAACUGUACACUGUAGGUACAUUAAGCUGAUUUCCAGGUGUCAGAAGAUGUUCUCAUUUGGCCUGCUGCUGGUGUCAGCUAACUAACUAGCUACAGAUGUUCUUCACAGACUCGUUAGCUACAAUUGAGAUGGGUGACCAACUAAUUGGUUAUUUGAAGGAAAUUGAGUAUAAUGUAUUUAGGUAUUGUCGGGACCAAAGAGCUCCCCUUCCUUCGCUCCGAAGUUCCCUAAGAUGUGGAAAAACAUUAGUAAUUAAUUAAAGUUAAAUCAAAGUUUUGGUUUUAAUUUAAUCUGUUCUCUCAGAUGAAAAACCAAACUUCAGCCACAGGUUCGGCUCGAAGGAAGAAAAGCCACCUUUAUUAGUUCCAAUGUGACUAAAUGAUGCCCGAAAGCCAAAAUGUGCAAACAAUACAAACACAUUACAUCUUAUACCCAAAGAUGAGCAACCAUAUCACCCCUCCCGGGUGUGAGAUCAUCGCUCCACCUAUAGUGGAGCCACCUUCUAGUUUUCUUAGGAAGCCUUAUUUCUCACCCAACUCAAGAUGUUUUUAAUGAUGUUCUCUGCCUUGUUUUAUCAGGCCUCCCUGUCCUCCCUGUGUCCGUUGUUUGUAACACUUUCCUAUCAAUUUAGUUCAAAGACCAGUUCUUACCAACCCUUAUCAGCUAGCCUUCCCAUUCCCAGCUAACUUCUACUGUAAAGGCAGUUUCUCACUCUUUGUGACCUUCGAUUUGUUUUUCCUACCACAAAGGCUCCUUUCAUUACACUGCCCUGCUUUGUGUCUGGAAUAGAGUUCACGUUUUCCCAAAUAUGGAAAUAUCGGUCCUGCUUUUCCUGGUCCCUGUCUGCCCGUCUCAUUUAAUGCUUAUAGGCCUGUCUGUCUCAGUUUAGUCUUUAUAACGUGUCUUUAAUCAUUUCUAAGUUAAUGAUUAUUAUAAAACUUUUAUUAAAAGGUGAUUUAAGGACAUAUUUCUUCAAAAACCCUGACAAUAUGUUUUAUUAUAUCUAGUUAACUAACGUUAACUAAAUUUGCAUCAGUUAUUGUGUUCUGUUGUGAAUUCUAGUCACCUCUGUUAGCUCUGCUGUGGGGAAUGGCCAAAACAACGCCUGAUAACUGUAGGUCUUAAUCCAGAAAGUGUCUCACAACAUGAUGCUUACCUCCUUUUAUCAAUGUUCGUUUGAAUAUCUUAUAAUAAAUAAACAAAAUAUAAACCCUGAGGUCA
This is a long non-coding RNA of Pygocentrus nattereri (red-bellied piranha), 2822 nucleotides long. RefSeq lists it as uncharacterized. NCBI's taxonomy places the organism in Eukaryota, Metazoa, Chordata, Actinopteri, Characiformes, Serrasalmidae. The record is from RefSeq and is a predicted model, not a curated record. The transcript has 2 exons.